This 342-nucleotide long non-coding RNA is filed under the name Homo sapiens (human). RNAcentral's name for it is "non-protein coding lnc-CYP11B2-2:1". Lineage: Eukaryota; Metazoa; Chordata; Mammalia; Primates; Hominidae. The record is from RNAcentral.
CCACCGUGCCUAGCCUGAAUGUGUUUUUAAUGUAUGAAGGUAAGGGCCAGUGGGAAAUCUUCCCUUUUAACCCCUGACAUUUCCAUGAAAACGCGACUCAGAAAAGGCAGAUUAACUGGAGAAAAGGCGCAGAGAUGUAUUAAUGUGUCCACAGGGGAAAACGCAGAGCGAUAUCCCGCACCCUGCAGCGGGGUUCAGACGCUUAGGGACCAUCCUGGCCACACAGGCCAUGAGGGGAGAAGAGGAUUCUGAGGGCAGUGGAGCAGGGAGCGGAGAUUAACUUGUAGAUAGUUCUCUUUGGAAUGUGAAUGGGCCUGAGGGACAGACAUUAUUAUCUUGUGA